Molecule: ribosomal RNA, 500 nt
Filed under: Pristimantis taeniatus (banded robber frog)
Lineage: Eukaryota; Metazoa; Chordata; Amphibia; Anura; Strabomantidae
Description: partial 16S ribosomal RNA
Rfam family: Bacterial large subunit ribosomal RNA
Source: RNAcentral
CGCCUCUUGAUAAGAGGUCCAGCCUGCCCAGUGACGUUCAACGGCCGCGGUAUCCUAACCGUGCAAAGGUAGCGUAAUCACUUGUUUUCUAAAUAAAGACUAGUAUGAAAGGCACCACGAGGAGUAAGCUGUCUCCUUUUUCUAAUCAGUGAACCUAAUCUCCCCGUGAAGAAGCGGGGAUUAAAAUAUAAGACGAGAAGACCCUGUGGAGCUUAAGACUUUAUAAAAUCUAUAUUCUAAUUGUACGUCUUUGGUUGGGGUGACCGCGGAGAAAAACUGACCCUCCACAAUGAAAAACAAUAAGCUACAGCUUUAUGUAUCAAAAAAUUGACAUGUUGACCCAAUAAGUUGAUCAAUGAACCAAGUUACCCCAGGGAUAACAGCACAAUCCGCUUUGAGAGCUCAUAUCGACAAGCGGGCUUAUGACCUCGAUGUUGGAUCGGGGUAUCCUAGUGGUGUAGCCGCUACUAAAGGUUUGUUUGUUCAACAAUUAAAACCCC